This is a long non-coding RNA of Bombus huntii, 761 nucleotides long. RefSeq lists it as uncharacterized. The transcript has 2 exons. The record is from RefSeq and is a predicted model, not a curated record. Lineage: Eukaryota; Metazoa; Arthropoda; Insecta; Hymenoptera; Apidae.
AUGUGUCAUCGGUCUUUUCAAGUGCAUAGUUUCGUGGAAAAGACCUACGUGACCCUGGCCACGAGCGCCUGCAGAACACGUGUGCGGUGGGCCUAGGAAAAAGACAACAGAAUGCGGCAACGGCCAGAGCGUUAGUCGAAAAGCAGAGUGCGAGUCGAGGAGCCGAGUGCGAGCUGAGCGGAGACAGAGGUUGCGAGUGGCGUUGCCGAGAGAGUGUGGAUUACGCUGUUUUCUGUGCGUUUGGCGUGAAUAGUUCAGACAUGCAAGAAAUUCCGUGUUGGAGAGCGAUGUUGCGAGUUCGAGUGCCUGGACCAUCUGAAGACCGGAACUGGUAUAGUUUAUGUCGUUGAUGAUAAUAAUUCCUCCACGACUCAGCAACAAGAGCUACUCUGGGUGAUGAGCUUAAUGGUGCUGUUGCGGCUAUUUUAAUUUUUCAACAAGGAUCCAAAUGGCGCCGUUGACGAAAUUCUUUCAUUAUAAACGUCAACGAUCAACAUCAGCCAUCAGGGAACGAAGAAGGUACGCUGUAACGUGUCUGAGUAAUUAUACCUCGAGGAGUACAUACAGUUAUGUAAUGAAGAUUCGUAUGUGAGUGUUUGUUUUCUUAUUUCUUUUCCCUUUGUUUCAUUUGAAUGGAUUUUUGUACUCAAAGAGCGAGGUAAGAUUACGUCAGAUACGUUUUUACAUAUGCUAAAAAAAUGGAAAAUGAUGAUGAUGAAUCAAUGACACGUAGAAAAUUAUAAUCUAUUGUAUUGCUGUUA